CGUGCAAAUGGUGGGUCUGACUUAACUAAAAAUUGGAGCAAUAUCCCAGGCACGGUGAGCUUCAUGAAUUAGAGACCAAGUUUUGGGUGCACCAUGAUUAGAGAAUCAUUGGACAAGAGUUGUCCACUCAUCGGUUGACCCAUCGCCAAUAACUGUUAGGUGAGGUGGUGAGCCAGUCGGUGAGACCGCACCACCCACUAAAAUCACUGAUCAUGAAGAUUUUCACAUCUCUACCAAGGGAGUGAAGGGAUCUGAGAAAAUAGUGGGAGCCUAAUUUAUUUAAAAAUAAAAUUUCUAAACAAAUUGAUUAAGUCUAAUUACAAAUCUAACUAGAAACUUUCGACUCUCUAUAGGAAACAUGUCUGCCUCCAACCCCCUGACCAAAAUAUAGACACCCAC
RNAcentral lists this long non-coding RNA (399 nucleotides) under Elaeis guineensis (African oil palm). RNAcentral describes it as "long non-coding RNA (EGUI_LNC082240)". The record is from RNAcentral. Lineage: Eukaryota; Viridiplantae; Streptophyta; Magnoliopsida; Arecales; Arecaceae.